Molecule: ribosomal RNA, 490 nt
Filed under: uncultured bacterium
Lineage: Bacteria
Description: partial 16S ribosomal RNA
Rfam family: Bacterial small subunit ribosomal RNA
Source: RNAcentral
AUUGAACGCUGGCGGCAGGCCUAACACAUGCAAGUCGAACGGUAACAGGAAGAAGCUUGCUUCUUUGCUGACGAGUGGCGGACGGGUGAGUAAUGUCUGGGAAACUGCCUGAUGGAGGGGGAUAACUACUGGAAACGGUAGCUAAUACCGCAUAACGUCGCAAGCCCAAAAAGGGGGACCUUCGGGCCUCUUGCCAUCGGCUGUGCCCAGAUGGGAUUAGCUAGUAGGUGGGGUAACGGCUCACCUAGGCGACGAUCCCUAGCUGGUCUGAGAGGAUGACCAGCCACACUGGAACUGAGACACGGUCCAGACUCCUACGGGAGGCAGCAGUGGGGAAUAUUGCACAAUGGGCGCAAGCCUGAUGCAGCCAUGCCGCGUGUAUGAAGAAGGCCUUCGGGUUGUAAAGUACUUUCAGCGGGGAGGAAGGGAGUAAAGUUAAUACCUUUGCUCAUUGACGUUACCCGCAGAAGAAGCACCGGCUAACUCCGUG